CUACGGGCGGCACCAGUAGGGAAUCUUCGGCAAUGGACGGAAGUCUGACCGAGCAACGCCGCGUGAGUGAAGAAGGUUUUCGGAUCGUAAAGCUCUGUUGUAAGAGAAGAACGAGUGUGAGAGUGGAAAGUUCACACUGUGACGGUAUCUUACCAGAAAGGGACGGCUAACUACGUGCCUGCAGCCGCGGUAAUACGUAGGUCCCGAGCGUUGUCCGGAUUUAUUGGGCGUAAAGCGAGCGCAGGCGGUUAGAUAAGUCUGAAGUUAAAGGCUGUGGCUUAACCAUAGUACGCUUUGGAAACUGUUUAACUUGAGUGCAGAAGGGGAGAGUGGAAUUCCAUGUGUAGCGGUGAAAUGCGUAGAUAUAUGGAGGAACACCGGUGGCGAAAGCGGCUCUCUGGUCUGUAACUGACGCUGAGGCUCGAAAGCGUGGGGAGCAAACAGGAUUAGAUACCCUUGUAGUC
Molecule: ribosomal RNA, 464 nt
Filed under: uncultured bacterium
Lineage: Bacteria
Description: partial 16S ribosomal RNA
Rfam family: Bacterial small subunit ribosomal RNA
Source: RNAcentral